This 309-nucleotide ribosomal RNA is filed under the name uncultured soil bacterium. Its description in RNAcentral is "bacterial SSU rRNA". It matches the Rfam family "Bacterial small subunit ribosomal RNA", at positions 26 to 363 of the family's 1533-position model. The record is from RNAcentral.
AGAACGAACGCUGGCGGCAUGCCUAACACAUGCAAGUCGAACGAGACCUUCGGGUCUAGUGGCGCACGGGUGCGUAACGCGUGGGAAUCUGCCCUUGGGUUCGGAAUAACAGUUGGAAACGACUGCUAAUACCGGAUGAUGACGUAAGUCCAAAGAUUUAUCGCCCAGGGAUGAGCCCGCGUAGGAUUAGCUAGUUGGUGAGGUAAAGGCUCACCAAGGCGACGAUCCUUAGCUGGUCUGAGAGGAUGAUCAGCCACACUGGGACUGAGACACGGCCCAGACUCCUACGGGAGGCAGCAGUGGGGAAUA